GAUGAACGCUGGCGGCGUGCCUAAUACAUGCAAGUCGAGCGAACAGACGAGGAGCUUGCUCCUCUGACGUUAGCGGCGGACGGGUGAGUAACACGUGGAUAACCUACCUAUAAGACUGGGAUAACUUCGGGAAACCGGAGCUAAUACCGGAUAAUAUAUUUAACCGCAUGGUUCAAUAGUGAAAGACGGUUUUGCUGUCACUUAUAGAUGGAUCCGCGCCGCAUUAGCUAGUUGGUAAGGUAACGGCUUACCAAGGCAACGAUGCGUAGCCGACCUGAGAGGGUGAUCGGCCACAAUGGAACUGAGACACGGUCCAGACUCCUACGGGAGGCAGCAGUAGGGAAUCUUCCGCAAUGGGCGAAAGCUUGACGGAGCAACGCCGCGUGAGUGAUGAAGGUCUUCGGAUCGUAAAACUCUGUUAUUAGGGAAGAACAAAUGUGUAAGUAACUAUGCACGUCUUGACGGUACCUAAUCAGAAAGCCACGGCUAACUACGUG
RNAcentral lists this ribosomal RNA (497 nucleotides) under uncultured bacterium. Its description in RNAcentral is "partial 16S ribosomal RNA". It matches the Rfam family "Bacterial small subunit ribosomal RNA", at positions 28 to 507 of the family's 1533-position model. The record is from RNAcentral.